RNAcentral lists this ribosomal RNA (253 nucleotides) under uncultured bacterium. Its description in RNAcentral is "partial 16S ribosomal RNA". It matches the Rfam family "Bacterial small subunit ribosomal RNA", at positions 524 to 776 of the family's 1533-position model. The record is from RNAcentral.
CACGUAGGGCGCAAGCGUUGUCCGGAAUUAUUGGGCGUAAAGAGCUCGUAGGCGGUCUGUUGCGUCUGCUGUGAAAACCCGGGGCUUAACCCCUGGCUUGCAGUGGAUACGGACAGACUAGAGGUAGGUAGGGGAGAAUGGAAUUCCCGGUGUAGCGGUGAAAUGCGCAGAUAUCGGGAGGAACACCGAUGGCGAAGGCAGGUCUCUGGGCCAUAACUGACGCUGAGAAGCGAAAGCAUGGGGAGCGAACAGG